CCUACGGGAGGCAGCAGUGAGGAAUAUUGCACAAUGGGGGGAACCCUGAUGCAGCGACGCCGCGUGGGUGAAGAAGCGCCUCGGCGCGUAAAGCCCUGUCAGCAGGGAAGAAAAUGACGGUACCUGAAGAAGAAGCCCCGGCUAACUACGUGCCAGCAGCCGCGGUAAUACGUAGGGGGCAAGCGUUAUCCGGAUUUACUGGGUGGAAAGGGGGCGCAGACGGCGAUGCAAGCCAGGAGUGAAAGCCCGGGGCCCAACCCCGGGACUGCUCUUGGAACUGUGUGGCUGGAGUGCAGGAGGGGCAGGCGGAAUUCCUGGUGUAGCGGUGAAAUGCGUAGAUAUCAGGAGGAACACCGGUGGCGAAGGCGGCCUGCUGGACUGCAACUGACGUUGAGGCCCGAAAGUGUGGGGAGCAAACAGGAUUAGAUACCCCAGUAGUC
This 440-nucleotide ribosomal RNA is filed under the name uncultured bacterium. Its description in RNAcentral is "partial 16S ribosomal RNA". It matches the Rfam family "Bacterial small subunit ribosomal RNA", at positions 338 to 795 of the family's 1533-position model. The record is from RNAcentral.